GACGAACGCUGGCGGCGUGCUUAACACAUGCAAGUCUACGAGAACGAGGUAGCAAUAUCUUUAUUAAAGUGGCGCACGGGUGAGUAACACGUAAGUAACCUACCUUUAGAUUUGGAAUAACCCCGAGAAAUCGGGGCUAAUACCGAAUGAUGCAGCGGCAUCACAUGGUGAUGUUGUUAAAGUCUAUAUGACGUCUAAAGAUGGGCUUGCGUCUGAUUAGCUAGUUGGUGAGGUAUCGGCUCACCAAGGCUACGAUCAGUAGCUGGUCUGAGAGGAUGAUCAGCCACACUGGAACUGAGACACGGUCCAGACUCCUACGGGAGGCAGCAGUGAGGAAUAUUGGGCAAUGCCCGGAAGGGUGACCCAGCAACGCCGCGUGGAGGAUGAAUGCCGUAAGGUUGUAAACUCCUGUUAGAGGGGAAGA
Molecule: ribosomal RNA, 424 nt
Filed under: uncultured bacterium
Lineage: Bacteria
Description: bacterial SSU rRNA
Rfam family: Bacterial small subunit ribosomal RNA
Source: RNAcentral